Molecule: ribosomal RNA, 429 nt
Filed under: uncultured bacterium
Lineage: Bacteria
Description: bacterial SSU rRNA
Rfam family: Bacterial small subunit ribosomal RNA
Source: RNAcentral
CGUCAAAGAGAAGUGAGGAAAGCGGCGGACGGGUGAGUAACGCGUAGGCAACCUGCCCUUAGCAGAGGGAUAGCCAUUGGAAACGAUGAUAAAACCUCAUAACGCUGAUAGAGCACAUGCUAGAUCAGCCAAAGAUUUAUCGGCUAAGGAUGGGCCUGCGUCUGAUUAACUAGUUGGUGAGGUAACGGCUCACCAAGGUGACGAUCAGUAGCCGACCUGAGAGGGUGAUCGGCCACAUUGGAACUGAGACACGGUCCAAACUUCUACGGAAGGCAGCAGUAAGGAAUCUUGCACAAUGGGGGAAACCCUUGAUGCAGCAACGCCGCGUGAACGAUGAAGGCCUUCGGGUUGUAAAGUUCUGAUCUUGGGGAAGAAGGAAGUGACGGUACCCAAGGAGAAAGCCCCGGCUAACUACGUGCCAGCAGCGGC